This 584-nucleotide ribosomal RNA is filed under the name Salmonella enterica subsp. enterica serovar Enteritidis. RNAcentral's name for it is "partial 23S ribosomal RNA". It matches the Rfam family "Bacterial large subunit ribosomal RNA", at positions 909 to 1495 of the family's 2925-position model. The record is from RNAcentral. Lineage: Bacteria; Pseudomonadati; Pseudomonadota; Gammaproteobacteria; Enterobacterales; Enterobacteriaceae.
ACUGUUUCGGCUAGGGGGCCAUCCCGGCUUACCAACCCGAUGCAAACUGCGAAUACCGGAGAAUGUUAUCACGGGAGACACACGGCGGGUGCUAACGUCCGUCGUGAAGAGGGAAACAACCCAGACCGCCAGCUAAGGUCCCAAAGUCAUGGUUAAGUGGGAAACGAUGUGGGAAGGCCCAGACAGCCAGGAUGUUGGCUUAGAAGCAGCCAUCAUUUAAAGAAAGCGUAAUAGCUCACUGGUCGAGUCGGCCUGCGCGGAAGAUGUAACGGGGCUAAACCAUGCACCGAAGCUGCGGCAGCGACACUGUGUGUUGUUGGGUAGGGGAGCGUUCUGUAAGCCUGUGAAGGUGUGUCGUGAGGCAUGCUGGAGGUAUCAGAAGUGCGAAUGCUGACAUAAGUAACGAUAAAGCGGGUGAAAAGCCCGCUCGCCGGAAGACCAAGGGUUCCUGUCCAACGUUAAUCGGGGCAGGGUGAGUCGACCCCUAAGGCGAGGCCGAAAGGCGUAGUCGAUGGGAAACGGGUUAAUAUUCCCGUACUUGGUGUUACUGCGAAGGGGGGACGGAGAAGGCUAUGUUGGCCGGG